CGGAUAAUGGACAUGGUGAGCAA
This 23-nucleotide non-coding RNA is filed under the name Cricetulus griseus (Chinese hamster). The record is from RNAcentral. Lineage: Eukaryota; Metazoa; Chordata; Mammalia; Rodentia; Cricetidae.